UGUGGAAAGAGCUGACGCAGAAGCUUUUGGGCAGUCAGUUCUCUCUGAACUGGAACGAGUUAGUGGCACCAAUAUCUCACCGGUCAUCACAGUCCAAUACACACAGGUUCCUCAAGCGCUAUGUGUUUCAGACCGCCUUAUACACACUAUAAAGAGAGCGAAACUCUCAACGUCAUGGUGACACACCCACUCCUCAGUCAAACCUGAUCCGUCUCAUUGACAAACAAAUGCGCAUAAGGCUGCUAAGGAUCGCAGACAGGCAAUAUGUGGAAGGGUUUUAACUGUAGCUAUAAGCUAUAUCAUAGGAGAACAGCUCAGGAAAAUGUCAGCGCUUUAGUUUUAAAGUUCUUUCUGAUUAAAUGAUGCAUUCCGUGUAAAAAAGAACCAUUUUUCUUUUGAUUUUAAAUUAACAUUUAACUAAAAAAAAGUCUUUCCAUCAACUAGGUGUGCAGCACUUUCAGCGGUCCAGUUCUCAAACUUGUUUUUCCUCUUUUUCAAACAAGUUGUCAUUGUUUUUUUUUUGAAACACAUUCAUUAAUUAGAAAAACAGUUAGCGGGGAGCAUUAACAGCAUUCCCAACUACCAAGUUCAAAUACAGACAGAGCAGAUUUGGCCAAACUAUCAGCCAUGAGAUUCUUCUCUCUAGAGAUCCAGACAAAAGAAACAGAUUCAAACUCAGCAGAAAGAUUUAAAAUAUCAGAAACCACACUGUGAAUUUCUGCAACACUCAGAUCCCGAGUUAGGCUCGUCACAAGUUGCUUCGAGUCCACUUCAAAAAAGAUGGGUCAAAACAAUCUCCUCUCAUUGGCCCUCUGGCUUCUUCCCGUGAGCGUAACUGUUGUUGUCUCUGCGCAGGUUUGCUUGGAAAAUUUUGGAACGUUUAGACCAGGUGAUACUUUUGACAGGAACCGUCAACUUAUCCUCUCAUCUCUUGCAUCUGAGGUGGCAGCUAAAGAUGGCUUCUUCAACGUUUCGGUUGGGACGUAUCCUGACCAGGUCUACGCGCUGGGGAUGUGCAUCCCAGGCGCUAAACAAGAGUUUUGUUCGGAUUGUAUCAAGGCUGCGUCUGACCAGUUAAUACAGAGCUGUCCCAACCAGGCAGCAGCCUUUUAUUGGUCAGGUGGAGGUGAAACUCUAUGUAUGGCACGCUACUCUAACAGCCCGUCUUUUAGACCGGUGGAUACAGAUUCACCUUCUUAUGGUGCCAACGUUGAAAAUCUCAGCACAAACUUAACAGAUUUUGACAGGUUCUUGGAGCGAUUAGCAGUUCGUAUGGUGACCGCAGCUUUGUCAUCAUCAGGCAAGAAUGUACCAGUCUCUAACAGUAGAUUCUACGCAGCUGAUGUAGCAGCCUUGACGAGCUCUAUGAAUAUUGCUGUCGUGGGAAGCAAGGCGGCUAUGUGUAUUGGCCUAAUUGUUUUUUCCGGUUGGAUAUGUACCCCUACAAUGGUGCCUUUAGUCCUCUUAAGUUAGCGCCUCAGCCUACAUCUCAGCCUGCUUCUCAACCCGCGUCUCAACCUGCUUCUCAACCCGUGUCUCAGCUGCAGUCCCCACCUCCCCUGACCAACGAAGAUGGGAAAACGAUUGAUAAGGGAGCUAUCAUAGGACUUGUGGCUGCAGUGCUCAUAAUUAACCUGUAAAUGUAAAUUGAAGUAAUUUGUUUUAAAUGAUAAAUCUCUAUGUAUCAUCUGAAAUAUUUUUAUUUAAUUAUAAAUUAUUAAAAAAAUUUAAAAUUGA
Raphanus sativus (radish) is the source of this 1737-nucleotide RNA transcript. It is a transcript of the gene named putative cysteine-rich receptor-like protein kinase 30, with no coding region annotated. The record is from RefSeq and is a predicted model, not a curated record. The transcript is spliced from 3 exons. NCBI's taxonomy places the organism in Eukaryota, Viridiplantae, Streptophyta, Magnoliopsida, Brassicales, Brassicaceae.